Ictalurus punctatus (channel catfish) is the source of this 1282-nucleotide long non-coding RNA. RefSeq lists it as uncharacterized. The record is from RefSeq and is a predicted model, not a curated record. Lineage: Eukaryota; Metazoa; Chordata; Actinopteri; Siluriformes; Ictaluridae. The transcript has 2 exons.
AUUAUUAUCAUCCAAUAAGAGGUUAGGGUGCUGUUAGGACAUCAGCCUGUAGGAGUGAGAAUUUCUACAUUCCAGCCAAUGGGAUGGCUGAGCCCGCCUCUCAGCUAGCGAGGGAGAUAGGAAGAGAUUCCAGUAGUAACUGGGUCAUCGUAGCGGUAUGCUGAUGCUGCCGUUACGGGUAUAAAUUACCAACAGUGCUGAGUGUCACGAAAGAGUCGAAGUUGGAAGGCAUGCUAGAGUAAUGUGCUGUUCUCUUGCACUGGAGGACACACAGACUGUACUGACUCGGUACUCGGAGAACCGAGGGACUGUGAACUCCGUCUCACCAAGACCAGAGUUUAGUUAAGUGAGUAGUUCAGUGUGAUCUGAUUUGAGUACCACUUCGUUUGAAAGAUGUGUUAACUUAAUAAUUGUGUAGUGUACAUAUACUGUAGUCAUCUGAUAAUUGUUUAGUGUAUAAGUUCGGGAUUCUAAUUUGUUAUUUCUUUUAUUUCUUUUAUUUCCUUACUGUUAUAUUUGUUCCUAUUUGGUAUUUUAUACAAUAUAUGAAGUUAACUUAAUUUGUGUGUCUGGCACUUCACUGUCGCCAUCCAACUCGUAGCUCCAGCGAGUGAAUCUAUAGUCUUUUGAUCUGGCCCAAUUACAACCAUCUAGGUAUCGACUACUCAUUACGGUCAUCACACGCUGUAAUACCCCGGUAAGUGACCCGCCCUCGAUGAGUGGGUUACAUAGUGGUUAAGCACAAGCUCUUCAGAAUGCUCUCAUUAUUCUAUCCUGCUUUAUUCUAUCCUGUAUUAACCAUCUUUCUGAAAUAAACCUUUUUACCUUCAGAGGACGAGUCUGCGAGUGUUGUCUAAUUUCCACUACAAUUUGGCGUCUCCUGGUUGGGCUGCGUGAGUCUUUUCAGCUUUUCUGGACAACAAGCAAACCGGAGGGCGCCUGUGGAAAAGUUUCAUCCAGAAACCUUUGCCCUAAAUAAAGGUUUGCCCUUUAUUAUGCAGAGCAAAAGACCAAUGCAGCCUUCCCAUUGACUGGUAGGAAUCAUCAAGAAUUUAGAAUUAGAAUUUUAUGAAGUCAUUGUGUAUUGCUGUCUGUAUGGAAGGGAGUCAGUGAUAUAAGAAAUGUGUGUAUUACAUUGAAAGAAGUAUUACAUGGAGGCGAUUUAUUAUAAGAAGUUCCAGGAACUUUGCCUCUGAACUUCGCCUUCGCUCUCUCAUUAUUCUAUCCUGCUUUAUUCUAUCCUGUAUUAACCAUCUUUCUGUAAUAAAUCUUUUUAUCUUCA